GAUGCACCCUCCAGAGAGACUGUCGCCCUUCCGGCAGGUGUAGGCUUCCCGUGGUCAGCACCAAGGGUGCCAUCUUUGGUCCCCCUUAAGGCUGUGCUAGCUCACCUCAUGCUGUUCGCAUGUGUUCCAGAUCAGACCUACUGUGACCGGCUGGUACAGGACACUCCUUUCCUGACAGGACAGGGUCGCCUGAGUGAGCAACAAGUAGACAGGAUCAUCCUCCAGCUGAACCGUUACUACCCACAAAUCCUUACCAACAAGGAGGCUGAAAAGGUGCUGAGGGGUGAGCGGGAC
This 294-nucleotide long non-coding RNA is filed under the name Rattus norvegicus (Norway rat). RNAcentral describes it as "long non-coding RNA NONRATT012333". Lineage: Eukaryota; Metazoa; Chordata; Mammalia; Rodentia; Muridae. The record is from RNAcentral.